CCUACGGGAGGCAGCAGUGGGGAAUAUUGCACAAUGGGGGAAACCCUGAUGCAGCGACGCCGCGUGAGUGAAGAAGUCAUUCGUUAUGUAAAGCUCUAUCAGCAGGGAAGAAAAUGACGGUACCUGAGUAAGAAGCCCCGGCUAACUACGUGCCAGCAGCCGCGGUAAUACGUAGGGGGCAAGCGUUAUCCGGAUUUACUGGGUGUAAAGGGAGCGUAGACGGCAGUGAAAGUCUGGAGUGAAAGGCGGGGGCUCAACCCCCGGACUGCUCUGGAAACUGUACGGCUGGAGUGCAGGAGAGGUAAGUGGAAUUCCUAGUGUAGCGGUGAAAUGCGUAGAUAUUAGGAGGAACACCAGUGGCGAAGGCGGCUUGCUGGGCUGUAACUGACGUUGAGGCUCGAAAGCGUGGGGAGCAAACAGGAUUAGAUACCCGAGUAGUC
RNAcentral lists this ribosomal RNA (440 nucleotides) under uncultured bacterium. RNAcentral describes it as "partial 16S ribosomal RNA". It matches the Rfam family "Bacterial small subunit ribosomal RNA", at positions 338 to 795 of the family's 1533-position model. The record is from RNAcentral.